UGACAAAUUAAAAACACAGAAACCUCAAGAACUUUUCAGUUCAAUCUCAUGAAAAAGAACUCACUUUCCACAACUAUCAAAGUGGUAGAUAGAUACACAAGUUUAGCUUAUGAAACUAUGAUAAUAAAUACAUGGUAAUAAAGAAUUGCAGUGUUUCCAUCAUGUUUAAGGUACGGUAACAAAUUGGAAGGGGAAAAAAAAUGGUAGGCACUUGGACCUUAUCAUAAUAGCCAAAACAGCAAUACGAAUCCAGUCGAGAGGAUCAGCGAAUACGAUGGCAAACGUGUUAUCGAGCCCCAAUUUAUAUCAGCUGAAGUGGCGGGUGGGAGCGCAGGGCAUUCUAGACCUUGCUUCCCCUCCUUGCACUCGCUAGAGAAGAGACCAGGAGGGUAUUUUCCAUACAGGUUAAUGUAACUGAACAUGGUUGAAGCGCAAUCAUUUGUUAAAUCGUUGAGAUCGUCGGCAUAAGGGCAAGCAAACUCUUUCAAAGCUGAACAACACAGGUUGGGAGGAUAUCGAGG
Molecule: unclassified non-coding RNA, 521 nt
Filed under: Hevea brasiliensis (rubber tree)
Lineage: Eukaryota; Viridiplantae; Streptophyta; Magnoliopsida; Malpighiales; Euphorbiaceae
Source: RNAcentral